RNAcentral lists this ribosomal RNA (500 nucleotides) under uncultured bacterium. RNAcentral describes it as "partial 16S ribosomal RNA". It matches the Rfam family "Bacterial small subunit ribosomal RNA", at positions 30 to 523 of the family's 1533-position model. The record is from RNAcentral.
AUUGAACGCUGGCGGAAUGCUUUACACAUGCAAGUCGAACGGCAGCACGGACUUCGGUCUGGUGGCGCGUGGCGAACGGGUGAGUAAUGUAUCGGAACGUGCCCAGCCGUGGGGGAUAACGCAGUGAAAAUUAGGCUAAUACCGCAUACGAUCUAUGGCUGAAAGCGGGGGAUUGCAAGACUUCGAGCGACAGCAGCGGCCUAUAUCAGAUUAGGUAGUUGGUGGGGUAAAGGCCCACCAAGCCAACGAACUGUAGCUGGUCUGAGAGGAAGACCAGCCACACUGGAACUGAGACACGGUCCAGACUCCUACGGGAGGCAGCAGUGGGGAAUUUUGGACAAUGUGCGAAAGCCUGAUCCAGCCAUUCCGCGUACAGGAUGAAGGCCCUCGGGUUGUAAACUGCUUUUGUACAGAACGAAAAGGUUUCUACUAAUACUAGGAGCUCAUGACGGUACUGUAAGAAUAAGCACCGGCUAACUACGUGCCAGCAGCCGCGGUAA